This is a non-coding RNA of Stereum hirsutum FP-91666 SS1, 108 nucleotides long. The record is from the annotation of a RefSeq genome assembly. Lineage: Eukaryota; Fungi; Basidiomycota; Agaricomycetes; Russulales; Stereaceae.
GGGCAUGUGGUGUAUCUGGUCAACACGUUCGCACAAUAUCAUUUCAUUUGUCCAGAUUAUGAUGUCGACAUCUGCGAAACGCAUCCGGUUCGAUCCCGGACGUGUCCC